UUUUUAGUGUAAGUGUGUCCCAUGCAAUAUCUGGGACACACUUAUGCUAAGU
Molecule: microRNA precursor, 52 nt
Filed under: Equus caballus (horse)
Lineage: Eukaryota; Metazoa; Chordata; Mammalia; Perissodactyla; Equidae
Description: mir-1302 microRNA precursor family
Rfam family: mir-1302 microRNA precursor family
Source: Rfam by way of RNAcentral